Molecule: long non-coding RNA, 1543 nt
Filed under: Anas platyrhynchos platyrhynchos (common mallard)
Lineage: Eukaryota; Metazoa; Chordata; Aves; Anseriformes; Anatidae
Description: lncRNA (ENSAPLG00000029611.1)
Source: RNAcentral
CUUCUCAAGUCCAAUAUACAUUCCAGUUUUAAGUCAAAACUUAACAGAAAAUAAACUUGUCCACUUCUGAGAAUGAACAGAUAAUACUGUUAUGAAUCCUCGUUUGUUUCCUUUAUGAAUCCUCAUUUAUUUCACAUCAAAUACUAGCAAUGUCAUUAACUUAUAUUUUUUUAACAGAUCUGAAUUCUGUUUUCCCUUUCUUGGUUGAUCAUUUUACCAAAAAUAAAUAAAUAAAUAAAUAAAUAAGGAAAAAGACAUUGUCCUCCAGCUUCUCAAGGCAUGUUCCAAGAACUCCAUGUCCCAAAGCAUGUCCCAUAAUCCAGUAAAUAAAAAAGCACAGCAUGGACCCUGGAUGUCAACAAUACUUUAUGUAUGAGGUUGAACUUUUGAAUGACAAACAGUUUAGUAGGUGCAUGGAAAUAGUGUAUUGUUUUUUUUACAGUCACACAUAAUCUGACACAAUUUUCAUAGUUUGUUUGUUUUUUGUUUUUUUUUUUAUGUAGAGCUGAACAGUAAUCUGAUUGUCCAGCUUGUUAUAAGUUUUAAGAUUUCAGUUAUUUUCCCAUCUCCCAUUUCAUACUUCUCACUUUUUUAACACAAUAGAAAAAGAAAAAUCUCACAUUGUCAUAAAUUGAGAAUAUAUAAAGGAAACUACAUUAGAUUAGUUUAAAAAACUUUGUUUCAAUAACUGAGUAUUUCACUUGGAUUGUGGAUCUUUUAAAGAUUUUAAUGUUUUAAACUCCUUCCACUGUAGAAUAGAGACGUUAAUUUUUUAAAAUUGUCAAAGCUAAAUGUUUACACAAGUUCUCUUGUAACAGUUGUUGUUAUUGUUUUCCAAGGUAAUAAAUUUGACACAGCAGAUACACUCUUCAUGGUGGAAAUUUAUUCCAACCAAAAUGAAAAAAAAAAAAAAAAAAAAAAAAAAGUAAUUCACUUUAUAUAUUAUGGAAUUUAAUAGUUCUAGGCCUGAUCUUAAGUGGCACAUACAUCUACUUGAUAAUCAUGUAGAUUUGAUUUUAGGCUUGACCAAAAUGAGAAGCUUGCCAAAAGAUGAAGUAACUAAGUGACUUUCCAGCUGACAUCAGAAGGAGUAGCUUAUCUUGUGACAAAUCCCUGAAAGGAAGGUAGAGAACAUUUCUAGUUUUUAUUAGUAAUAGGAACAAAAACUGUUUUUUUGUUGUUGUUGUUGUUCUCAGGAACUAUAAUUUGCAGUUCUUCCUUGUUUAAGAAACAGCUGUUCAGCUGUACCUCUUCUUCCCUGUCAUUCAGUCUUUUGCUAGAGGGUCUUGUAGAUGUCAUAACCACUUCAGAAACAGAGGUAGCAGAGUUCAGUUCAAAGGAGAAACUUCAUGUUUUGAAGCCUGCUUGAAUCUUAUCUAAGCUAUCCAGGUUUCCCAACUCUUGAAUUUGCUGUAGAGAGCUCAGAGAAAUACUCUUUUCUUCUCAGUGUCAGACUGGUCUUUCUCAAACAUUCAUGGUUAUGUGGAUAAGCUUCCAGUAUUUUAAAAAGGAGAAAUAUUGAAUAAAAUAUGAAUAUGUCUCA